RNAcentral lists this ribosomal RNA (252 nucleotides) under uncultured bacterium. RNAcentral describes it as "partial 16S ribosomal RNA". It matches the Rfam family "Bacterial small subunit ribosomal RNA", at positions 525 to 776 of the family's 1533-position model. The record is from RNAcentral.
ACGGAGGGUGCAAGCGUUGUCCGGAUUUAUUGGGUUUAAAGGGUGCGUAGGCGGUCAAUUAAGUCAGUGGUGAAAUCCUACAGCUCAACUGUAGAACUGCCAUUGAUACUGGUUGACUUGAGUAUAGACGAGGUAGGCGGAAUUUAUGGUGUAGCGGUGAAAUGCAUAGAUACCAUAAAGAACACCGAUAGCGAAGGCAGCUUACUAGACUAUAACUGACGCUGAGGCACGAAAGCGUGGGGAGCGAACAGG